Molecule: ribosomal RNA, 550 nt
Filed under: uncultured archaeon
Lineage: Archaea
Description: bacterial SSU rRNA
Rfam family: Archaeal small subunit ribosomal RNA
Source: RNAcentral
ACGGGGUGCAGCAGGCGCGAAAACUUUACAAUGCGGGAAACCGUGAUAAGGGAACUCCGAGUGCCCGUAAAAUCGGGCUGUCCACCAGUUUAAAUAACUGGUGAAGAAAGGGCCGGGCAAGACCGGUGCCAGCCGCCGCGGUAAUACCGGCGGCUCGAGUGGUGGCCACUAUUACUGGGCUUAAAGCGUUCGUAGCUGGUCUGUUAAGUCUCUGGGGAAAUCUACUGGCUUAACCAAUAGGCGUCUCAGGGAUACUGGCAGACUAGAGACCGGGAGAGGUGAGAGGUACUCCAGGGGUAGGAGUGAAAUCCUGUAAUCCUUGGGGGACCACCUGUGGCGAAGGCGUCUCACCAGAACGGCUCCGACAGUGAGGGACGAAAGCUGGGGGAGCAAACUGGAUUAGAUACCCGGGUAGUCCCAGCUGUAAACGAUGCGCGUUAGGUGUAUCGGUGACCACGAGUCACCGAGGUGCCGAAGAGAAAUCGUGAAACGUGCCGCCUGGGAAGUACGGUCGCAAGGCUGAAACUUAAAGGAAUUGGCGGGGGAGCAC